UGUAUUUAUUAGAUUAAAAACCAAUGCCCUUCGGGGCUCCUUGGUGAUUCAUAAUAACUUAACGAAUCGCAUGGCCUUGUGCCGGCGAUGGUUCAUUCAAAUUUCUGCCCUAUCAACUUUCGAUGGUAGUAUAUGGGACUACCAUGGUUUCAACGGGUAACGGGGAAUUAGGGUUCUAUUCCGGAGAGGGAGCCUGAGAAACGGCUACCACAUCCAAGGAAGGCAGCAGGCGCGCAAAUUACCCAAUCCCGACACGGGGAGGUAGUGACAAUAAAUACUGAUACAGGGCUCUUUUGGGUCUUGUAAUUGGAAUGAGUACAAUUUAAAUCCCUUAACGAGGAACAAUUGGAGGGCAAGUCUGGUGCCAGCAGCCGCGGUAAUACCAGCUCCAAUAGCGUAUAUUAAAGUUGUUGCAGUUAAAAAGCUCGUAGUUGAACCUUGGGCCUGGCUGGCCGGUCCGCCUCACCGCGUGCACUGGUCCGGCCGGGUCUUUCCUCCUGGGGAGCCGCAUGCCCUUCACUGNGGUGUGUCGGGGAACCAGG
RNAcentral lists this ribosomal RNA (542 nucleotides) under uncultured eukaryote. RNAcentral describes it as "SSU rRNA". It matches the Rfam family "Eukaryotic small subunit ribosomal RNA", at positions 202 to 746 of the family's 1831-position model. The record is from RNAcentral.